GACGAACGCUGGCGGCGUGCUUAACACAUGCAAGUCACGGGGGCCCGCAAGGGCAACCGGCGAACGGGUGCGUAACACGUGAGCAACCUGCCGAUCUGAGGGGGAUAGCCGGCCCAACGGCCGGGUAAUACCGCAUACGUUCUUGUGGCCUCAUGGCUAUGAGAAGAAAACCUCCGGGGCAGAUCGAGGGGCUCGCGGCCUAUCAGCUAGUUGGCGGCGUAAUGGACCACCAAGGCGACGACGGGUAGCUGGUCUGAGAGGAUGGCCAGCCACAUUGGGACUGAGAGACGGCCCAGACUCCUACGGGAGGCAGCAGUGGGGAAUCUUGCGCAAUGGCCGAAAAGGCUGACGCAGCGACGCCGCGUGUGGGAUGAAGCAUUUCGGUGUGUAAACCACUGUUGCCCGGGACGAACAUCC
This 417-nucleotide ribosomal RNA is filed under the name uncultured bacterium. RNAcentral's name for it is "bacterial SSU rRNA". It matches the Rfam family "Bacterial small subunit ribosomal RNA", at positions 28 to 454 of the family's 1533-position model. The record is from RNAcentral.